This 341-nucleotide transfer-messenger RNA is filed under the name Lachnospiraceae. RNAcentral's name for it is "XBD2001 sp017959525 Standard tmRNA". It matches the Rfam family "transfer-messenger RNA". From Rfam's summary of the family: Bacterial tmRNA, also known as 10Sa RNA or SsrA, is named for its dual tRNA and mRNA-like properties. Its role is to liberate the mRNA from a stalled ribosome. To accomplish this part of the tmRNA is used as a reading frame that ends in a translation stop signal. The record is from RNAcentral. Lineage: Bacteria; Bacillati; Bacillota; Clostridia; Lachnospirales. RNAcentral also lists the same sequence under 1 other name.
GGGCCAGUAAUGGUUUCGACAGGGAUCGUGAAGCUGGUGAAGCGAGUCGCAUGGUAAUGCGUUAAAUGGCCAAAUUAAAUUUAAACGCUGAAGAUAAUUUAGCAAUCGCUGCCUAAUGGCAGCAGUCCGACCUAGUGCACCUACACAUUAGGACCCGGGCUUCGAACAUGUAGGAAACGACACACGGUAAGCUUUGCCCGUGUGGGCGUAUCAUGAAGCUACGGAAACCGUAAGGGUGUUUGUUCCCGUGCGGCAGACGGAAUGUCAAAGAACAAACUACGCUCGUAGAAGAACAGGGGAUUGAUUUUUGGACACGGGUUCGACUCCCGUCUGGUCCACUA